Molecule: ribosomal RNA, 111 nt
Filed under: Pteropus alecto (black flying fox)
Lineage: Eukaryota; Metazoa; Chordata; Mammalia; Chiroptera; Pteropodidae
Source: RNAcentral
GUCUAUGGCCAUGCCACCCUGAACAAGCCCGAUGUCUCGGAAGCUAAGCAGGGUCAGGCCUGGUUAGUACCUGAAUGGGAGACCCCCUAGGAAGACCAGUCGCUGUAGGCA